This is an RNA transcript of Ipomoea nil (Japanese morning glory), 4897 nucleotides long. RefSeq lists it as uncharacterized. The record is from RefSeq and is a predicted model, not a curated record. The transcript is spliced from 12 exons. Lineage: Eukaryota; Viridiplantae; Streptophyta; Magnoliopsida; Solanales; Convolvulaceae.
AAAAAAGAACUGGUGGAGCAGUUUACCAUCGUUGAAGAGCGGUCACAACUCACAACCCCAAUCGCAUACGCCAUAGUCCAUAACUCCAUACGAAGCCGGUAUCCACGCAGCCACGCACGAUGCACCCACAAGCCCUCACUCUCCUCGCCACCGACCACCGUAGUCUGAAGUCUGAACUCUAAACGCCGUCUACCACCAGUGACCAGUCUCCUCGCUCCUCGCCACCGUAGCCUCACCGCUGUCUACCACCGUUGAAGACCAACCGGCGACCAGAGAGGCCUUAACCCCCGAAGUCCAUGAGAGCCACACCCCUAAUUCAUAUGUUCGCUCUCUUCCACUAGCGAGAAGAGUGAGUUGUGGUAGCAAGUACCGGCCUUGAUCAAUGAAGAAGAUGGUAGUCCGGCCACCUUCACAUUGAAACUCCAAAAUCAUAGAAAACUAAGUUGCUGAAAGCCUUCAUCUUCUCCAUGCUAUCUCAAAGUGGAAUACAAACCUCAGGGCUCAGCCUCCCCCGUUCCAACAACACCUCCAUGGCUCCACCUCUGUUUCUUGGAAGUUACUUCUGAAAACCUCAAAGAGGGAGAGGGAGGGAGCACUCAGGGUUUCAGCAGGAAUGGAAAAUUGCUCUGAGUUGGACAGGACAAAACCUUCCCAAAAUGCUUUCCAUUUCCCUCCGCCUCAUCGUCGCCGAACUUUGAUGAGUGAGACUUACCGCACGCUGAUUCACAUCCUAUCCCAUUGCCCCACCAGCUCUGAACUUCAAUCUUCUCAGGAAAAACAAGAAGAAACUGGUUGUUCAGAAUCAGGAAAAGAGAUCACUGCUCAUGGUGCAUUAGUUGAUCAACACAUGGAGGCCGAAAUUAAGUUAGUGAAUGAUAUUGAUCAUGAGAAAAACAGAACUCAUGACAUAUCGCAGGAAAUGGGUGAUAUCAGUGAGGGGCAAAUAAAAUAUUGUAUUGAUUUGUUGGAUCACAUUGAUGAUGCAGUGGAAGUUAAUGGGGAAGUCCCUCAAAAAAAUGGUGCUAACAACGGUAUCUCAAGCUCUUUGGUGGACAACAAUCAAGCUAGUACUCUGGUUUUGCAGUCAUAUAAUGAGCAAGAAGAUAAGUCUAACACCCCAGAAUUACAAUUGGGGGAAUCUGAUCUUGUGAAACUCCAAAAUAUGGAUAAAGACAUCUCUGUUCAUGAAACUUGUGCCACUAUGGAGUCAUGUUUUAUGGAUGAGGAUAAUGAACUGACUCAACUUGUUCAGAGUCGUGAAGAGAAAAGCCAUAUUGCAGAGAAUAAAUUUUUUGAAGACAUGGAACAUGGAUUGCAACUGAAUGAGAUGGAACUACAAAAUCUGGUAGACAACAAUCAAGCUAGUACUCUUGACCACAUUGAUGAUGCAAUGGAUGUUAACGGGGAAGUCCCUCAAAAGAAUGGUACUGACAAUGGGUCAGGCUCUUUGGUGGACAACAAUCAAGCUAGUACUCUUGUUUUGCAGUUGUAUGAUGAGCAAGAAGAUAAGUCUAACACCCCAGAAUUGCAAGUGGGGGAAUCUGAUAUCACAAAACUGCAACAUAUGGAUAAAGAAAUAUCUAUUCGUGAAGCUUGUGCCACAAUAGAAUCUUGUUUUAUGGAUGAGGAUAAUGAACUGUCUCAAGUUGUUCAGGGUGGUCAAGAGGAAGGCCAUGUUGCGGAGAAUAAUCUUUUGGAAGACAUGGAGCACGAAUUGCAACUUAGAGAUAUGGAACUGCAAAACUUGGUGGACAACAAUCAAGCUAGUAUUCUUGAUCCCAAUGAUGAUGCAAUGGAAGUUAAUGGGGGAGUCCCUCAAAAGAAUGGUGCUAACAAUGGGAUCUCAAACGCUUUGGUGGACAACAACCAAGCUGGUACUCUUGUUUUGCAGGUGUAUAAUGAACAAGAAGAUAAGUCUAAUGACCCAGAAUCAUGUUUUAUGGACGAGGAUAAUGAACUGACUCUACUUGCUCUGAGCAGUGAAGAGAAAAGCCAUGUUGCAGAGAAGAAUUUGUUGAAAGGCAUGGAGCAUGGAUCGCAACUUAAAGAGAUGGAAUUACAAAAUUUGAUCUCUGCCUCUGGAGCAGCUAAUUCAUCAGUUCCUGAAACUGUAGUUGAAGAGAUUGAAGAAGGGGAAAUUUCUGGGGAUGCUGGGGUUAGUGAUGAAUCAGAUGGUGACAUGUUUGAAGACACAGUGUCACUAGAGCAAGGGCAUACUCAUGUGAGUAUCACAGCUGAAAAAGAGUUCAUUCUUGAUGUUCUGGACACCAAACUUCAGGAAAAGCAUGUACUGACUUCAUUUUCUAAUGAUUCAGCAGAUGGUUGCAGCAAUAUUUCUAAGGAGCUUCUUGGAAAAAAAUCUGAGGUGGAGGAGAGUGACUUUGAAAUGGUUGUUUACCAGAAAGAUGUUGAGACUGAGAAGAUUGAUGGGUUUGAUAAUGUUAUAGAUAGUGAAAUAGUUAAUGGACAAGUAGAUGGUGUUGGGAAGGUAGACAGUUCUGCAGCUUGUUUGGCAUUGAAGACAGUCUCCUUAGAAAAUGCUACUAAAAGUAAAGGUUCUGUUACUGAUGCUGAGUUAGAGGUUGUAAAUGAAGGCAAAAGGAAAAAGAAGAGAGGCCCUAUAACCAAGGAAAAAAGAGCAAAGAAAAAGUGCAAAGAGAGGAUUAAGCGAGCUCAAAAGAACAUAAAGCUAGGAGUGAAAAGACUAAAGCUGCCACCAACUGUGAAACCAAAAACAGUGUCAUAUUGCCGCCAUUAUCAGAAAGGAAGGUGCCACGAGGGUGAAAAGUGCAAAUUCUCUCAUGAUAUAAUUCCAUUAACCAAAUCCAAGCCAUGCUGCCAUUUUGCACGCCAUUCUUGCAUGAAAGGUGAUGAUUGCCCAUUUGAUCAUCAGCUCUCCAAAUAUCCAUGCAAUAAUUUUGUAUCCAACGGUUUUUGCAGCAGAGGUGUAGACUGUUUGUUCUCACACAAGGUGCCAGCUAAGACAGAGUCUUCGGCACCUCCUAUCAUCUCCAAGGCUGAGUUGAGUUCACCUUUACUUCCAAAUAGUUUAAGCCCAAAGAUGCAAGUGAAUGCUCAUGGUAGCUCUCAGCUUUUUCCUGGGAAGAACACAGGGCAUACUGUAGGUGACACUGUCCAAAAGCUUGCUGUGCGUGCACCAAAAGGUGUAAGCUUUCUCAGUCAUGGGAAGUUGCCAGUUGGCGAUACUAAUCAUAAAGAAUUUGGUUCAUCAUUGAAGGAAGGUGAUUCUGGCAAAUUUAAUCAUGAGGAAAUCCAUUCUAAGUCAGACAAUACUCAAAAGCCAAACGACGUUAUCAAGGGACCAACUUCAAGGAUACCACAUGGGAUAAACUUCCUUUCCCUUGCUAGAGCUCCUUUGACUGAUUCCAGUUCUAAGACAAUACCAAGCUUUCUUAACAGAGAUUAUAGAAUUGGAAAAUUUCAGUUAGAUGAAUUUAGUAAAGGUAAGGAUACUGCCUCAUCUCCAAGGAGUGGUGGUAGUUGUAGAAAUGAGAUGACAACCAGAACUCCCCCUAAAUCUAUGCCUCGGGGCAUAAGCUUACUCUCAUUUGGCAAAGUGUCAUUGGAUGUUACUUGUUCAACAGAGCAAGCUAUAAUCUGUAAUAAAGAGUACAAGACUGCGUCACCUGUGGUUCAAGGGAUACAAGGUUCACUAAAUAGACUUGGUGGCUCGGGGGAAAUGCAAUUUAAGUUUUCAUCUUCUUCGUUUCCAUCAAAUCAGCUAAUGGGUCAAUCUGCAGUGGGGCACAGUGAAGGAAUGCCCAACUCAUCAAAGACAACAUUCUUGGCAAAUAUACCAAGCUCAGCACAAAAGGCUCUCCAAUCAACAUUAGCAUUCGCAGCUAAGUUCGAGUCUGGAAUCAAGUUAGACCAAUCAAUUGGUGGUGCCUCUGUUGCGAGUUCCAACAUCAAAGAGCAUCGCUGAGGGUUCAAAAGAUUACUCUUAGGAUGGCCUCAGCAGUUUUGAAGUUUGUACAUCCUUGCUCUCAUUUACAGUACUCAUUCAAUGUCACAAUAUUGCUCCAUGGAGAGGAAUGGGAAGAGAUAAACAAAAGGUUAGAUAAACAUGUUACUUUGUUUUUCUUCCUGCAUUAUUAAGAUUAAGAAAAACAAAGAGAAUGCCUGAGCAAUGGCUAACCACCCAGUCUAUAUAUCACAGGAGCGACUUCUUUAUUAAAUCAAUUCAGAAAAAUCAAUCCAGACCAAUGGGAAUUUGCAAAUGAAGGGUUUCAGAGAAAGGGAAGGAAUUGCUGAAGACUUUCAAGAGGAGAAAGCAGCAGCAACCAGGAGUGGCAGUGAGUUGGCUAUUUUUUUUUUUUUUUUGGGUGACGAGGGAAACCUGUAACCAUUACCUGAGGGUGUGUAUAGGGUAAUCCUCGCCUUGUGACCCUAGUUGGCAAAGGACCACAAGGAGGUAGCCAGUUUAGGUUGUCCAUAGCUGACCGGCUCAAACCAAGAAGGCUGAGAUUUGAACCCGUGAUGUGGUUAUAGGUUUGUAUGUUUAGUCAUUUUGGCUGGGGUUACCCCACGCAUAAGUCAUCAGGAGGAAACUUUGUGAAGCUCCUUAGGGCUGCAAGAAAUAAUCAUCUAGUGAAACCCAAUCAUUUUGGUCAGUCAGGUUUGUUGUUUGUUGUUGCUGUCUUCUUAGCUAGCUUGGAUGCUGCCAUGACCACAUAGUUGCAUGCUGGGAACAGGAAAAUAGUUUGUUGGAUUGAUAGUGCUUUAGUUCACAGAAGGAUACAUGUAGAUACAGUCUAAUUCUUAAAGUUGGGGUUUCUUUCUUGCAAUGUCAAAACUGAAGAAUGAAGAUGGAGAAACUUGUUCUGUUCUUCCAAAAGAAAUACAAAAACAAAUGACUGUCCCAGCUUGACCUCAA